UCCCACCUGACCCCAUGCCGAACUCAGAAGUGAAACGCCGUAGCGCCGAUGGUAGUGUGGGGUCUCCCCAUGCGAGAGUAGGGAACUGCCAGACAU
Molecule: ribosomal RNA, 96 nt
Filed under: Escherichia coli O5:K4(L):H4 str. ATCC 23502
Lineage: Bacteria; Pseudomonadati; Pseudomonadota; Gammaproteobacteria; Enterobacterales; Enterobacteriaceae
Source: RNAcentral